Molecule: ribosomal RNA, 259 nt
Filed under: uncultured bacterium
Lineage: Bacteria
Description: partial 16S rRNA
Rfam family: Bacterial small subunit ribosomal RNA
Source: RNAcentral
GUGCCAGCAGCCGCGGUAAUACGUAGGUGGCAAGCGUUGUCCGGAAUUAUUGGGCGUAAAGGGCGCGUAGGCGGUUCUUUAAGUCAGAUGUGAAAACCCGAGGCUCAACUUCGGGCGUGCAUUUGAAACUGGGGGACUAGAGUGCAGGAGAGGUAAGUGGAAUUCCUAGUGUAGCGGUGAAAUGCGGUGAUAUUAAGAGGAACACCAGUGGCGAAGGAGACUUACGGGACUUGAACUGACGCUGAGGCGCGAAAGCGUG